AAAAGUGAAAGACGGUCUUGCUGUCACUUAUAGAUGGAUCCGCGCUGCAUUAGCUAGUUGGUAAGGUAACGGCUUACCAAGGCAACGAUGCAUAGCCGACCUGAGAGGGUGAUCGGCCACACUGGAACUGAGACACGGUCCAGACUCCUACGGGAGGCAGCAGUAGGGAAUCUUCCGCAAUGGGCGAAAGCCUGACGGAGCAACGCCGCGUGAGUGAUGAAGGUCUUCGGAUCGUAAAACUCUGUUAUUAGGGAAGAACAUAUGUGUAAGUAACUGUGCACAUCUUGACGGUACCUAAUCAGAAAGCCACGGCUAACUACGUGCCAGCAGCCGCGGUAAUACGUAGGUGGCAAGCGUUAUCCGGAAUUAUUGGGCGUAAAGCGCGCGUAGGCGGUUUUUUAAGUCUGAUGUGAAAGCCCACGGCUCAACCGUGGAGGGUCAUUGGAAACUGGAAAACUUGAGUGCAGAAGAGGAAAGUGGAAUUCCAUGUGUAGCGGUGAAAUGCGCAGAGAUAUGGAGGAACACCAGUGGCGAAGGCGACUUUCUGGUCUGUAACUGACGCUGAUGUGCGAAAGCGUGGGGAUCAAACAGGAUUAGAUACCCUGGUAGUCCACGCCGUAAACGAUGAGUGCUAAGUGUUAGGGGGUUUCCGCCCCUUAGUGCUGCAGCUAACGCAUUAAGCACUCCGCCUGGGGAGUACGACCGCAAGGU
RNAcentral lists this ribosomal RNA (711 nucleotides) under Staphylococcus aureus. Its description in RNAcentral is "bacterial SSU rRNA". It matches the Rfam family "Bacterial small subunit ribosomal RNA", at positions 196 to 894 of the family's 1533-position model. Lineage: Bacteria; Bacillati; Bacillota; Bacilli; Caryophanales; Staphylococcaceae. The record is from RNAcentral.